ACUGAGCUUAACACUGCUGAUCUGCUGGAGGGUCACACAUCUAUAUGAACCCUUGUUAGACCUGUGUAUUUGAACUUGUCAGUCAAGCAUUUGAAAUAAAAGGCCUAAUCUAUUUUUCAUCUAUACAUCCCACUGAUGUGUGGGUAAUAUUCAAGUAUCCUGAACGCCUAUUUGUUAAUUCAUUUGACAUUCUAUCAAUUUUUAUCAAGCAUUCA
Pseudophryne corroboree (corroboree frog) is the source of this 215-nucleotide long non-coding RNA. RefSeq lists it as uncharacterized. The transcript has 3 exons. The record is from RefSeq and is a predicted model, not a curated record. NCBI's taxonomy places the organism in Eukaryota, Metazoa, Chordata, Amphibia, Anura, Myobatrachidae.